AGAGUUUGAUUCUGGCUCAGAUUAACGCUGGCGGCAGGCCUAACACAUGCAAGUCGAGCGGAGAACUUGUGAUUCAGCGGCGGACGGGUGAGUAAUGCCUAGGAAUCUGCCUGAUAGUGGGGGACAACGUUUCGAAAGGAACGCUAAUACCGCAUAUCCUACGGGAGAAAGCAGGCCUUCGGGCCUUGCGCUAUCAGAUGAGCCUAGGUCGGAUUAGCUAGUUGGUGAGGUAAUGGCUCACCAAGGCGACGAUCCGUAACUGGUCUGAGAGGAUGAUCAGUCACACUGGAACUGAGACACGGUCCAGACUCCUACGGGAGGCAGCAGUGGGGAAUAUUGGACAAUGGGCGAAAGCCUGAUCCAGCCAUGCCGCGUGUGUGAGGUUCGUUGAGCACUUUAAGUUGGGCUAAUACACCGACAGAAUAAGCACCGGCAACUUCGUGCCAGCAGCCGCGGUAAUACGAAGGGUGCAAGCGUUAAUCGGAAUUACUGGGCGUAAAGCGCGCGUAGGUGGUUUGUUAAGUUGAAUGUGAAAGCCCCGGGCUCAACCUGGGAACUGCAUCCAAAACUGGCAAGCUAGAGUAUGGCAGAGGGUGGUGGAAUUUCCUGUGUAGCGGUGAAAUGCGUAGAUAUAGGAAGGAACACCAGUGGCGAAGGCGACCACCUGGGCUAUACUGACACUGAGGUGCGAAAGCGUGGGGAGCAAACAGGAUUAGAUACCCUGGUAGUCCACGCCGUAAACGAUGUCGACUAGCCGUUGGGAUCCUUGAGAUCUUAGUGGCGCAGCUAACGCAUUAAGUCGACCGCCUGGGGAGUACGGCCGCAAGGUUAAAACUCAAAUGAAUUGACGGGGGCCCGCACAAGCGGUGGAGCACGUGGUUUAAUUCGAUGCAAACCGAAGAACCUUACCUGGGUACAUGUACGUGUUACUGAGGUGAAAGCUGAGCACAAGCGUCAAGGUGCUGCAUGGCUGUCGUCAGCUCGUGUCGUGAGAUGUUGGGUUAAGUCCCGCAACGAGCGCAACCCCUGCAUUCAGUUGCCAUCGGUGAGGCCGGGCACUCUGGAUGGACUGCCGGCGACAAGCCGGAGGAAGGUGGGGACGACGUCAAGUCAUCAUGGCCCUUAUGUCCAGGGCGACACACGUGCUACAAUGGCCGGCACAGCGGGAAGCGAAGGGGCGACUCUGAGCGAUCCCUUAAAGCCGGUCCCAGUUCGGAUUGCAGUCUGCAACUCGACUGCAUGAAGUUGGAAUCGCUAGUAAUCGUGGAUCAGCAAGCCGCGGUGAAUACGUUCCCGGGCCUUGUACUCACCCCCGUC
This 1317-nucleotide ribosomal RNA is filed under the name uncultured Pseudomonas sp. RNAcentral describes it as "bacterial SSU rRNA". It matches the Rfam family "Bacterial small subunit ribosomal RNA". The record is from RNAcentral. Lineage: Bacteria; Pseudomonadati; Pseudomonadota; Gammaproteobacteria; Pseudomonadales; Pseudomonadaceae.